RNAcentral lists this microRNA (21 nucleotides) under Callithrix jacchus (white-tufted-ear marmoset). Its description in RNAcentral is "cja-miR-4772". The record is from miRBase by way of RNAcentral. Lineage: Eukaryota; Metazoa; Chordata; Mammalia; Primates; Cebidae.
CUGGAACUUUGCCUGAUCAGA